Molecule: ribosomal RNA, 308 nt
Filed under: uncultured Candidatus Saccharibacteria bacterium
Lineage: Bacteria; Candidatus Saccharimonadota
Description: bacterial SSU rRNA
Rfam family: Bacterial small subunit ribosomal RNA
Source: RNAcentral
GAUGAACGCUGGCGGUAUGCCUAAUACAUGCAAGUCGAGCGGUAACAUGGACUUCGGUCUGAUGACGAGCGGCGGACGGCAGAGUAACGCGUAGGAAUAUACCCCAAAGUGAGGGAUAACUGCCCGAAAGGGUGGCUAAUACCGCAUGUGGUCUUCGGACUAAAGCUUUAUGCGCUUUGGGAAUAGCCUGCGUUGGAUUAGCUAGUUGGUGAGGUAAUGGCUCACCAAGGCUACGAUCCAUAACUGGUCUGAGAGGAUGAUCAGUCUGACUGGAACUGAGACACGGUCCAGACUCCUACGGGAGGCAG